RNAcentral lists this ribosomal RNA (537 nucleotides) under uncultured bacterium. Its description in RNAcentral is "bacterial SSU rRNA". It matches the Rfam family "Bacterial small subunit ribosomal RNA", at positions 777 to 1318 of the family's 1533-position model. The record is from RNAcentral.
AAUAGAUACCCAGGUAGUCCACGCCCUAAACGAUGCUCACUAGGUGUUGGGGAAGCGAUUCCUUGGUACCGUAGCUAACGCGUGAAGUGAGCCGCCUGGGGAGUACGGCCGCAAGGUUAAAACUCAAAGGAAUUGACGGGGACCCGCACAAGCGGUGGAUGAUGUGGAUUAAUUCGAUGCAACGCGAACAACCUUACCUACCCUUGACAUGUCCGGAAGCCUGCUGAAAGGUGGGUGUGCUCGAAAGAGAACCGGAACACAGGUGCUGCAUGGCUGUCGUCAGCUCGUGUCGUGAGAUGUUGGGUUAAGUCCCGCAACGAGCGCAACCCUUGUCCCUAGUUGCUACGCAAGGGCACUCUAGGGAGACUGCCGGUGACAAACCGGAGGAAGGUGGGGAUGACGUCAAGUCCUCAUGGCCCUUAUGGGUAGGGCUUCACACGUCAUACAAUGGACGGUACAGAGGGUUGCCAACCCGGCGAGGGGGAGCCAAUCCCAGAAAGCCGUUCGUAGUCCGGAUCGCAGUCUGCAACUCGACUG